Molecule: RNA transcript, 982 nt
Organism: Microplitis mediator
Lineage: Eukaryota; Metazoa; Arthropoda; Insecta; Hymenoptera; Braconidae
Exons: 3
Source: RefSeq, a predicted model, not a curated record
UCGAACGUGUACUUGGCGCAAUUAUUAUGAGAGAAUCCGUUUUUCGUGGAUUGUAAAAGUCUUUAAAGAGGUUCAAGCGUUUCGAAAUGAAACAAAAUAUUUAUCUCUCAAAUUGUCUUGUUAUAUUUUUUGUUUACUUAGAAAUUGAAGAUUCUACCGAGGAGACUAAAAAAAAUUUUAUUCCAUUUUUUAUGUUUUCAAUAUUGGCGCCACACAACAGCUGUUUCUGUCAGCGUUGCCAAUGCGUUUAUCCUCUAUAGAGGACAUAUAUGUCGCCUCAACUUAUUAACCACUAAAACGAUUUUUCAACUAAAUUUUUCUCAUUGUUUUUGACGAUGACAAUAAAUUUUAAGUAUAGAAUUUGACUCUACACUUAUUCAACUUUCUUAUAUCAGUUUUGAGAGCUCAAAGUUGGAAAAUCGACAGCAAAAAAAUUCAUAUUACUGGGGCAUAGUGUUUCUGUCAUGAGAGCCCAUAUAUAAGGAAUUAAAAAACACGAUUUUAAAUAAUUUUUUUACCAAUAACUAUACAGUAAAUCCUCAAAUAAUUUUAAUAUCAAGUUAUCUGGAUUUGUUCACCUGAACGUAUCUAUGAAGGCAACAUUAUUGGAUGGAAAUGUGAAUGAUACCAUUUGUUUUAAACCAGUUAUCGUUAAUCAUGGAAACGUUGCAACUGCCACGAAAGUUAUGAACAGUGGUAAAGUAAUUCACCAAGAACUUCAACUAGCUCCGAUUAGACUUUCAGGAGUGGAUCCUGUUGAAAUCAAGUGGAUAUUUUCCGAUGAUUGCAAUUCAACAGACGAAAUCGGGACAACGGUUGUUGUCUGAGACCAGGACUAUGCGGGUGAAUCCUAAAAUUUCCCGCUGUUUUCAAGCUUCUUGAGCUCGAAAUCGUUAUUGUGAAUAAGUUUUCGAGCUCUUCAAUUAAAAAAAAAAAUAUGUAAACUUAUUCUACCACCUGACUUAUAUAAUAAUAAGAAAUU